RNAcentral lists this unclassified non-coding RNA (137 nucleotides) under uncultured fungus. Its description in RNAcentral is "sequence contains ITS1, 5.8S rRNA gene". The record is from RNAcentral. Lineage: Eukaryota; Fungi. RNAcentral also lists the same sequence under 1 other name.
CCGAGUGAGGGCCCUCUGGGUCCAACCUCCCACCCGUGUUUAUCGUACCUUGUUGCUUCGGCGGGCCCGCGUCCGCCGAAGACACCAUUGAACGCUGUAUGAAGAUUGCAGUCUGAGCUUAUUAGCUAAAUUAGUUA